Long non-coding RNA from Scatophagus argus, 410 nucleotides. RefSeq lists it as uncharacterized. NCBI's taxonomy places the organism in Eukaryota, Metazoa, Chordata, Actinopteri, Scatophagidae. The record is from RefSeq and is a predicted model, not a curated record. The transcript is spliced from 2 exons.
GAGCUGCUUCCUGUUUUGAGAAGAAGACAGAAGUGAGACUGACGAGGAAUUCCUGCCCAUUUCCCAGGCCACUCCUCCUCAGCCUUAUCUGUAAAUGCUUUCCCUUUCUGCCUGUUUACAAGUACAAUCCUGUGGCAGAUCGUACUACUGGCUGACAGGAUGAUCUGCUGACUGCUCCAGUGUUGGUCCCAGUCCACAGCUUCUCAUCAUCUGGAACAUCUGCAUGUGGAGGAGCCUCUUUGUACUGCCAUGUCCUGCAGCUUUCUUAUGGGAAUACUUUCUUGGUGCUUGCUUGUGGGGGAAUGUUGGGUUCUCUGUAUUGCAAAACUUAAUUUCUAAUCGGAAAGUGUCAUGAGAUAACUUUUGUUGUGAAUUGGUGCAAUAUAAAUAAACUGAAUUAAUCCAUUGUA